UGCAGUCGAACGGCAGCAUGGGUGCUUGCACCUGAUGGCGAGUGGCGAACGGGUGAGUAAUGCAUCGGAACGUACCCGGAAGUGGGGGAUAACGUAGCGAAAGUUACGCUAAUACCGCAUAUUCUGUGAGCAGGAAAGCGGGGGAUCGCAAGACCUCGCGCUUCCGGAGCGGCCGAUGUCGGAUUAGCUAGUUGGCGGGGUAAAGGCCCACCAAGGCAACGAUCCGUAGCGGGUCUGAGAGGAUGAUCCGCCACACUGGGACUGAGACACGGCCCAGACUCCUACGGGAGGCAGCAGUGGGGAAUUUUGGACAAUGGGGGCAACCCUGAUCCAGCCAUGCCGCGUGAGUGAAGAAGGCCUUCGGGUUGUAAAGCUCUUUCGGCUGGGAAGAAAUCGCAUCUCCUAAUACGGGGUGUGGAUGACGGUACCAGCAUAAGAAGCACCGGCUAACUACGUGCCAGC
RNAcentral lists this ribosomal RNA (462 nucleotides) under activated sludge bacterium KC6. RNAcentral describes it as "bacterial SSU rRNA". It matches the Rfam family "Bacterial small subunit ribosomal RNA", at positions 56 to 512 of the family's 1533-position model. The record is from RNAcentral.